GUCACUCCCACAAACGUCUACGACCGCAUCUACAUAUUUUUGCAUGUUUACAAUUCUAAUUGUUUAAACAGCCAAUCGACGUUUAAUUGUAAUUGUUACCAAGAACCGGAUUGGCUGUUUAAAAUUAGAACUGUAAACAUGCAAAAAUAUGUAGGUACGGUCGUAGACGUUUGUGGGAGUGGC
Molecule: microRNA precursor, 183 nt
Filed under: Paramuricea clavata
Lineage: Eukaryota; Metazoa; Cnidaria; Anthozoa; Malacalcyonacea; Plexauridae
Source: RNAcentral